RNAcentral lists this ribosomal RNA (466 nucleotides) under uncultured bacterium. RNAcentral's name for it is "bacterial SSU rRNA". It matches the Rfam family "Bacterial small subunit ribosomal RNA", at positions 28 to 507 of the family's 1533-position model. The record is from RNAcentral.
GAUAAACGCUGGCGGCGUGCCUAAUACAUGCAAGUCGAACGAAGAGAGCUAGCUUGCUAGAGCUCUUAGUGGCGAACGGGUGAGUAAUACAUAAGCAACCUACCUGCAGGGACCGGGAUAACGCUUGGAAACGAGUGCUAAAACCGGAUAGGUAAUAACGGCGCAUCCCGAUAUUAUUAAAGGUUAGAAACACAAGUGGAUGGGCUUACGGCGCAUUAGCUAGUUGGUGAGGUAACGGCCCACCAAGGCGAUGAUGCGUAGCCGGCCUGAGAGGGUGAACGGCCACAUUGGGACUGAGACACGGCCCAGACUCCUACGGGAGGCAGCAGUGGGGAAUAUUGGGCAAUGGGCGCAAGCCUGACCCAGCAACGCCGCGUGAAGGAAGAAGGCUUUCGGGUUGUAAACUUCUUUUGUCAGGGACGAGUAGAAGACGGUACCUGACGAAUAAGCCACGGCUAACUACGUG